AUGCCAAAAUACACAAAGUAAUGUCCUAAACAAACUCCAGUAAGUUCUCAGAAUUCUUUCUUUCUUUGCCUAUCUGUAAAUGUCAAUUAUUGAUGGAAAGAUUUUUCCCAUCCGUUGGUGUGUACGGUGAAAUCGACAUUGACUGAUAAAGAUCAAUCCUUCCAAACCUCUGUACACAGUUUCCAGCCCCAAUCUCAGCAAGUCAGUACUACUACUCACUCCCUGUUACACAUCCAAGGCUCUCAUUAGUAAGGCUAAGAUUUUGUCAGGUAAUUUUAGUAAAAGUCACAGAUAAGUCACGGCAAUAGCAAAAAUUCAUGGAAACCCUGAAUCCAUGACCUGUCUGUGACUUUUACUAAAAGAACCAUGUCAAAAUGGGGAGUGGGGUCCAGCACACAGGCCGCUAUGCUCUGGGUCCCCCCUGCCAGACCCUGGGAGCUGAGAGCUCUGGGGACCCACUGGCUGGCAGCUUCAGCCUGCUGCCGGGGGUGAAGCAGAAAAUGUCACUGAGGUCUCUGGAAGAAGUCACGGAUUCGUGCACUCUGGACAUAAUUCUAGCCUUAACUAUAUAGUCACAAAAAAGCAGGCAGAAGAAUCUCUUCAACGUCAUUAUGGGUCUGGGUGUCUUGGGCCCCCGGAAUGCUGGAGUCAGCUGGCUCGGCAUGGACCCUUCCAGCGCUGCAGGGCGGGGCUGUUUCUUUAAGAGAAAACACAUCUGCUCACAUGACCCCCGUGUGACUUUACUUCCGCUUUCCAUCCCGGGCAGCGCUGCGAGGGGGAGGCCGGGUCUGCGCUUGGACACAGGUUCCUUCCAAAGGGAGGGAAAGCUGGGAAACCGCCGCGAUCUGCUAGCCAGGGAAUUAGCCCUGCAUGGGAUAAACUGAAAAGUCACAAUGUGAAUCAUCGCGCCAAAACGGAUGAGUCUGAUCACACCCUGGAGAUCGUCAAACUUCAGAAGGCCAGUCAGGAAUGUUUUAUUCAAGAACCCUGGACUCGAUCUUGUUCUCAGUGACUCCAGGGAGAUUUGUACAAAUAACUCCUGUAUUGAGAAUUUGGAAGAGAUUUACGGUGUCACUCCCAGCUAUUGUGUCCUUCUGCCUGUUAACGUAUAAUUUUCUACUCUGACUGUGGGGCUGAACUUUGUUUUGAUACUUUCAAGAGAAAAAAGGAAAAUUAUUUCCACAGUCAAUCAAACAGAAAGUUGCAUCCUGUUCUCCUUCUGAAAUGAAAGGCAAUUCUGCAUGUGACUAACGCAGACCUGUGCUCAAGUGUACUGCUGAAAGGGAUUUCGUGACAUAUUAAAAAGAGGCUUAUUAUACAUCGUUGACAGAUUCUCUCCUACGUGUGAACGGUCAGGGAGAGAUUUCCUGAGGAUAUCGAUAGGACUAAAAGUGAAAUAGUGUUUUACAAUUAAUUUUUUUACUACAACAAUAGUUUGUUUGUUUGAAUAUUUUAUAGAUUUCCAUUUUUAAUCAAAUAUUAUUGAAACAUAAUCAUUUUUCUUUUUCAAUCAUUGUUCUUCUUUUAGCAAGAAUAGGGAAGGGUUAAUAAAAUGUUUGGAUUUUAUUAGAAUUCUAUUUUGAAUCAAUUUGAACUAUAUAUUCUCAUUUAGUUUCAUUUCAUUGAAAUUGGAAACAUUCAAGUAAUAGAAAAAUUCAUUUUUAAUUUUUUUCUAAAAGUCAUUCUAUUGAAAAAAAUUUUGUUUAAACAUUUUUGAGAGCUACAGUGUUGUCAGCUCACACAAUUUUUUGUGAAUUUUUUUUUGGCAUUUUAUUUUAAUUCUCACACUACCUGCUAAUUUUCCUAAAGCCCCAAAUCUCUAGCUUUAUGAUUAUGUGAGAAUCUCAGAUAUCAUUUAAGUAAAAACUAAAAUUCUCGCCCUCAUGACAAAGUUUAGGAAUAUGACCUUGAGUGCACCCUGAGGAGUCACAAACCAAAAGGCAAAAAAUGAGAACUUAAAAUGUAUCAUUAUCAUUAGAAUUUUACAGUUCAUUAUUUUUAAGUCAGUCUCAUCUCUGUUUUUUGACCUGAUCUGAUUUUGUGUGUGUGUGUGAUUAUUUUUUAAUUGAUUUUCAUAAAAAAACAGGCAUUGCAAAAUAGAAAAAAAGUAAUUGAAGUACAGUUUCCAUCUUUUCCUGAAUACCUCAUUCUUCCUGGGUUGUCCUAUGAAAUUGUACAAUUUUACAGUUUAUCAAAGCUACAAGACCAGACAACACAAAACCAGACAAUACCACACAGACAUAACAUAUUAGGGAGGGCAUAACACUGACUGUUGAGUUUUGAAUAUUGGGGUUGGCAGUGCUGCAGCUCUGUUUUCAAAACAAACAAACAAAUUUGAGAUUGGUACAAUAAUUCAUCCAAACUCCACAAACCAAGGAAUCAUGUUUAUUAAUUUCACCCCUCAAAGUGUUGUUUUUCUUUGGCAACAAAGGUCUGAAGAAACAUCAGACACUCAGCGUGGAUGAAAAUUGAUUUCAUUUUUAAAAGCCUGAGUUUAAAAUGACUCGGGGCCUUCUUCCUGGUCCAGCAAAUGGACAGAACCCUGGUCCCCCGAGGGCCCCAAUCCUUAUGGGAGGAUUGGAAGGACUUGGCCUGCUGAGGCCUCAUAACAUUGAGUGCUUGUUCUGAGCUGAAGCUCUGAUGAACUUGAACCACAAGGAAACUCCUAGGGUGGAGGGAUGCCUGGUGAGCUUAUGAGCUUGUGUGUAGAUCCUUCCAUUGUAUUUAAUUCAUCUUUUUAGCUUAAGAAUAAAGCUAAACUUGCUUAGG
Molecule: non-coding RNA, 2769 nt
Organism: Chelonoidis abingdonii (Abingdon island giant tortoise)
Lineage: Eukaryota; Metazoa; Chordata; Testudines; Testudinidae
Source: RefSeq, a predicted model, not a curated record